CCUACGGGAGGCAGCAGUGGGGAAUCUUGCGCAAUGGACGAAAGUCUGACGCAGCCACGCCGCGUGAGUGAAGAAGGCCUUCGGGUUGUAAAGCUCUGUCGGAGGGGACAAAAAAUCUUAAGGUUAAUAGCCUUAGGACUUGAUGGUACCCUUAAAGGAAGCACCGGCUAACUUCGUGCCAGCAGCCGCGGUAAUACGAAGGGUGCAAGCGUUGCUCGGAAUUAUUGGGCGUAAAGGGUAGGUAGGUGGUUACGUAUGUCUGAGGUGAAAGCCCCGAGCUUAACUUGGGAAGUGCCUUGGAAACGGCGUAACUAGAGUACUGGAGAGGUUUGUAGAAUUCCUGGUGUAGCGGUGAAAUGCGUAGAGAUCAGGAGGAAUACCAGAGGCGAAGGCGACAAACUGGACAGUAACUGACACUCAACUACGAAAGCGUGGGUAGCAAACAGGAUUAGAUACCCUGGUAGUCCACGCUGUAAACGAUGGGUACUAGGUUUUGCGGGAGUUGACCCCUGCGGAACCGGAGCUAACGCGAUAAGUACCCCGCCUGGGAAGUACGGUCGCAGACUAAACUCAAAUGAAUUGACGGCUGAGAGNGCGACGGACGACGACGAGGGAGGAGG
RNAcentral lists this ribosomal RNA (620 nucleotides) under uncultured bacterium. Its description in RNAcentral is "bacterial SSU rRNA". It matches the Rfam family "Bacterial small subunit ribosomal RNA", at positions 338 to 951 of the family's 1533-position model. The record is from RNAcentral.